RNAcentral lists this ribosomal RNA (700 nucleotides) under Terribacillus sp. Its description in RNAcentral is "bacterial SSU rRNA". It matches the Rfam family "Bacterial small subunit ribosomal RNA", at positions 90 to 776 of the family's 1533-position model. Lineage: Bacteria; Bacillati; Bacillota; Bacilli; Caryophanales; Bacillaceae. The record is from RNAcentral.
AAUGAGCGGCGGACGGGUGAGUAACACGUGGGCAACCUGCCUGUAAGACUGGGAUAACUUCGGGAAACCGGAGCUAAUACCGGAUAGUAUUUCCUUUCUCCUGAUUGGAAAUGGAAAGACGGUUUCGGCUGUCACUUACAGAUGGGCCCGCGGUGCAUUAGCUAGUUGGUGGGGUAAUGGCCCACCAAGGCGACGAUGCAUAGCCGACCUGAGAGGGUGAUCGGCCACACUGGGACUGAGACACGGCCCAGACUCCUACGGGAGGCAGCAGUAGGGAAUCUUCCGCAAUGGACGAAAGUCUGACGGAGCAACGCCGCGUGAGCGAUGAAGGCCUUCGGGUCGUAAAGCUCUGUUGUUAGGGAAGAACAAGUACGAGAGUAACUGCUCGUACCUUGACGGUACCUAACCAGAAAGCCCCGGCUAACUACGUGCCAGCAGCCGCGGUAAUACGUAGGGGGCAAGCGUUGUCCGGAAUUAUUGGGCGUAAAGGGCUCGUAGGCGGUUUCUUAAGUCUGAUGUGAAAGCCCACAGCUCAACUGUGGAGGGUCAUUGGAAACUGGGGAACUUGAGUGCAGAAGAGGAGAGUGGAAUUCCACGUGUAGCGGUGAAAUGCGUAGAUAUGUGGAGGAACACCAGUGGCGAAGGCGACUCUCUGGUCUGUAACUGACGCUGAGGAGCGAAAGCGUGGGGAGCAAACAGG